Molecule: long non-coding RNA, 1396 nt
Organism: Capra hircus (goat)
Lineage: Eukaryota; Metazoa; Chordata; Mammalia; Artiodactyla; Bovidae
Exons: 3
Source: RefSeq, a predicted model, not a curated record
CAAAGAGCUGGACUCGACUGAAGUGACUUAGCAUGCAUACUUCCUGCAUGGGUAACCUUAAGGGAACAGAGAGUAGGUUUCACGAUGGCAAUUACUUUUCAUGUCUAUAGUCAUCCAGAAUAUAUCCCAGAAGAUUUGGAGUGUGGAACACCAACUAAAUCCAGAGAGCCUCUGUGCUUGGAUUAGCUCCACUGGGCAUGAAACAAGUGUUUACUAGGUAUGUACAGUAUAUUACACACUGAACCUAACGCAGCGGUGAAGAGGAAAGGAGGGCACCUUCCAUUGAACUGACCAUGAGCUGACGUGGAACUGAAAGUUGAUCUGAACACCUUCCAUGGACAGAAAACAUUGACACCUACAAAGCUGGCAUUCAGUGAUGUUAUCAGCAAGGGUGAGCACAAAUGGACACAAUAUGAAGGUGAUGGAUGGUUGGCCAUUCAGAGAAAGGAGAAGAGUUUUUCUGUCCAGUCUUCCAGGGCUAAGAGUUUGGAUGGAAUGCCUACAGGAAUCUUGUCAAGUCUCUGUUCAUGAUGAGAGCUGAGCUGUCACAUACCCAGUGGAAAUCCUCUGGAUUUGUUGGUUUGUGGAUGAAGGAGAAUUUCCUCCCUUCAGCCAUUCCAGAGGGUUCAGUGGGAUUUGGAAUCUUGAGGUGUGUGCUAGUCAUGACUUGAAUCACCAGGAAGAACUCUGCUUAUUCUUUCUUCCUUCUUCCUUUUUUGCCUUCUCUUCAUCACACUGUGGCUCGAGGCUUUCUCAAAGACCUGCUCUGAUGUCAGAAUCUAUUGUACUUGAUCUUUCUCAAUGUUUUCUUUUCUGUUUUUACUGGUUGGAUCACAUUCAGCUCUGAUCUCUCACCAACCAGAAAUUCCUAUUCUUUUGACUCAUUCAUUUCCUUUACCAGGAAAUAUCAGGAUGAACCAUUACAUUAUCAGGCCUAAUCCUUAUAUGAUUUUCUGUUUUCUUUUCAUCUGACCUUUAAGGUGCUCUCAGCUAUGUUUUAGAUUUACAAGGCAUGUUUAAAAUCUGUUCCCAAUGCAAGAUGAUAUUUUAUCUAUAUAUUAGUAAAAUCUUUUCAGUCAUAUCAUAACAGUAUUUUUGAGGGCUCAGCAUUUUGUAGUUAUCCAGAAAUCUGUAAUUCUUUUUUUUUCCCUUUUUCACUAUUGAAAAAUGACUUUAUUUUUGGGAUUUACUUUAAGCAAGCAGAUAUUAUCAAGACUAGCAAAAUGUUGGUAACUAAGUCAUGACUAUGUGGGGGUUGAUAUCCUUGACUUUUAUGAUGUGUUUUAAAAUGUCUGUAAUAGAAACCUGGGAUAAUGAAAUGGUGGGAAAAAGUAAUAAGCCUUAAAAAAAACAGUCUUCAAUAAACAGUUGAAUGUCCCAUACAACUUGACAUUAA